AUCCACGAACCCUGAGCUAGACACAGAGUGCUGAUUGGUGCAUAUACAAUUCUCCAGCUGGACAUAAAACUUCUCCAAAUCCCCACCCAACUCAGGAGCCCAGCUGGCUUUGCUUGGUGGAUCCCGCUCCGGGGCUGUGGGUGGAGCUGCCUGCCAGUCCUGUGCCGCGUUCCCGCACUCUUCAGACCUUGGGUGCAGAGAAAAGUCAGUGGGUUCAGCCUUGCCAGAUAAAAAGUAAUCAAAGGUCGUAAUACCAGCAUUUUUAAUAUUACCGCUGGAAGGCUUAGAAGUGUGUCUUUGCAAUGACAAAAUACAUUGAGAAGCAAUUUACAUCCUAAAUAAUUGUGGCUGAAUGAAAAUGGAGAUUGACAAAAAGGCUAUUCCAUCUUUGGGGAGUUCUUUAGCCAAAGUCUUCCAUGGAAAACAAUGUUAGGAAGAAUUUGUGGAGAAGAUACAGAAUGUAUAGAUCUCUGUAAUACACCAGUGGUUUUGAUAUAUCCUUAUCCUCUCUGGAAUGCAGAGUAGAUCUUAUCAGUUUUUCUGUUUUGGAAGUUGAGGAAGACGUGUUAUAUUCCUAUAUUAGAAGAUCUAUUUAUGCUGAUUAAUAUGAGCCAGAAGAGAAAAGGGAUGGAUGAUGCAGAAGACACAUAGAGAUCUGAUAAAGUGAAAAUUCUUACAGUGGCAAAAAGAUGGGUUUCAGUAUGCUUUUGUACAUUAGGGAACUCAUUUUCCUCUGGGUGGUUAAAAGAUUGCCAAGGAGAAUUUUAGCAUCGACAGUUUUAAAGGAAUCAAUUUUCAGCAACUCAAUUUUCAUGUGAACUUUUCUAAAGCGAUGUCGCUGAAAAAUUUAUCUAUACUCAGGAUACACUUUUUUGUUCCCAAAAGAAUGGCAUCAUUCAAAAUCUUAAUGUAGUGCAUUAUCCUGUGGUGGAUUACUUCUGGAGUAACAAAUAGCAAGGCUAUCUAACGAUAAUUCAAUAUUUCAGUCUAAAGUUUCUCAUUCUUCAUGUUCCAUCUACAUUUCUCUCUCUCUCUCUUUCUCUGUCUGUCUAUCUAUCUAUCUAUCUAUCUAUCUAUCUAUCUAUCUAAUCUAUCUAUCUACCAAUCUAUCUACCUUUCUAUCUAUCAUCUAUCUGAUCUAUCUCUAGUAAAGUGAAGCCUGGCAUUUAGAAAAGUGGCGUAUUCAUCCAUGUUGAGGUGUUGUGAGUUAAGAUAUAGGUAGGAAUAAAAUGGAAAACACUUUCCUUAAAUAUAUUUUAUAUUCUCCUACUAUUGAUUCCUUUACAACUAUUUCAAUUUAAGAAGAAAAAUGUCAGAUAGUGUGAUAUGAAUCAUGUUUGAGAAAUAUUUCCUUGAGAGUUUGACUAGUGCAACAAAAAAUAUCUGUAAGGGACAAUGAAUGUUAAAAAUGGUUUUAUUCCUGUGCUCGAGCAAAACCUACUCUUUUUAUGUAUUCUCAAUUUUCAGCCCUAGAAUGUGUUAUUAACUUGAAAGAAAAACUCUCCCAAAGAUCUAAAAGUUAUGCUGAUUUUUUAGAAAUAACUAAAGGUUUUCAAGACUACCAAAAUUUCAAGCUACAUGGGACAAUUACCAAUGUAUGGUGUGUGAGGGGAAGACUGUAGUAAGUUUAGAUGUCACUGAAUAUUUUUCACUAAGGGAUUUAAAGCAUUUUAUACUAUACAAAACAAUAAAAUGUCUAUUUUAUUUUCAGUGAA
Long non-coding RNA from Homo sapiens (human), 1715 nucleotides. RefSeq lists it as uncharacterized. The record is from RefSeq and is a predicted model, not a curated record. The transcript has 5 exons. NCBI's taxonomy places the organism in Eukaryota, Metazoa, Chordata, Mammalia, Primates, Hominidae.